AAUAGUAGCUGGAUUUUUUAUCAAGGUUGUUAGAUAGUAUCAUUCUUUUUGCCGGUAGGUUGUAUGCAAUACAUUUGGUUAUUUCUUUUGCUGUUGCCAUCUCCAAUCUGUAUUUGGGUGGCAUCUCUGCCGCCAUAUGGUAAAUUGUGUGCGUUGGCGUCGAUCUAAUUAGUCCUAAACUUCGUCUCAUGUUUGUAUUGCAGCAUUUCCCCAGUAAACUAGCUCUGUCUAGUGUACCGUCUAGUUUCUACAGCUUUUGCCUACUCUUCCUCUACACAAACUUGUAAUUCCCCAUCUUUUUGUUUGUUUUAUCAUGGAGUCAGACGAUACAGCGAAUUCGAAAGGCAUAACCUUGUAUUCUAUCAUAUUUGAUGUUUAUUGAUACCAGUCGCUUCACCUAUUCAUUACUUGCUAACUUAACGUCUCGACACUAAAUUUAUCGAAGUAUGGCAUCAUUAGUUGAUCUUGAGUGUGGUGACGUUUGCAUAUGUCUAUUUUAUACAUGACUGCCACAUGAACAUGAACAUAGAUGACAACAUGAACGUUUGACUGUUUCGCUCAUAGAUGAUAUAACACGUGGAUUGCCAUUAUAAUUCAAAAAUGUUGGUUUGAGAAAUAAAAUUUGUAAUUUUCAAUUGGAGGAAGAUGUCGUAUAACAGCUAUGGUAAAAUAGUAAAAUGACCCUGAUUAUGUGACUUGAUUGUACCAUGUGAAGAAGCUACUAGUAGUGCCCUACGGAUGGUUAUAGAAUUGCCCUGAUUAUAAGAGUUGAUUGGACCAUGUGAAGAAGCUACUAGUAGUGCCCUACGGAUGGUUAUAGAAUUGCCCUGAUUAUGUGAGUGAGUUGGACUAUGUGAAGAAGCUACUAGUAGUGCCCUACGGAUGGUUAUAGGAUUCCGCUGAUUAUGUGAGUGAGUUGGACUAUGUGAAGAAGCUACUAGUAGUGCCCUACGGAUGGUUAUAGGAUUGCCCUGAUUAUAAGAGUUGAUUGGACCAUGUGAAGAAGCUACUAAUAGUGCCCAACGGAUGGUUAUAGAAUUCCGCUGAUUAUGUGAGUGAGUUGGACUAUGUGAAGAAGCUACUAGUAGUGCCCUACGGAUGGUUAUAGGAUUGCCCUGAUUAUAAGAGUUGAUUGGACCAUGUGAAGAAGCUACUAAUAGUGCCCAACGGAUGGUUAUAGAAUUCCGCUGAUUAUGUGAGUGAGUUGGACUAUGUGAAGAAGCUACUAGUAGUGCCCUACGGAUGGUUAUAGGAUUGCCCUGAUUAUAAGAGUUGAUUGGACCAUGUGAAGAAGCUACUAAUAGUGCCCAACGGAUGGUUAUAGAGUAAGUUCAAUAAAAAAUUACAGUAAUGAUAGGUAUUUUCAAUUAUGAUGAGACCUAUAGAUGGGGACAUCUUAAAGUCAAUGCAAGAAUCAUCAAUUACUGAUCAUUCGACUCCGCUGAUUAUGUGAGUUGAUUGGACCAUGUGAAGAAGCUGUUAAUAGGGCAUUAAGGAUGAAUAUCGAGAAAGAUACCAUAUAUAAAAAGCGAUAGUGGCGACAGGUAUUUUUGUUGUAGCAGCAUAACAUUCUCCAUACUUAGUGACAGUCCUUGGCGGGAUAUAAAUCCGGGUUGUUUCGGUAACGUAGAACCGACUGUCGUAUGCUGCUACAACAGAUAUUUUCAAUUAUGAUGGACGAAUGGGUAUCCUUUGUUUUAACGAGUGAUCAUUAUUUUGUUUUGUUUGCUAAAGACCGAUUUAUUUUGUAUACAUAUUUGAAAUCUGCAAAUAAAUGUACGAUUUUUCGGCAAUAAUAGUAUGCACUGAUUAUUCAAACAAUAAAAAAAGUUUUGUCUGAAACUCUUUUCAAA
Anastrepha ludens (Mexican fruit fly) is the source of this 1853-nucleotide long non-coding RNA. RefSeq lists it as uncharacterized. The record is from RefSeq and is a predicted model, not a curated record. Lineage: Eukaryota; Metazoa; Arthropoda; Insecta; Diptera; Tephritidae. The transcript is spliced from 12 exons.